CUCAACAAAUUCUCCAGCUGCCAUGCAAGCAUGAAAUCCUGUGCCGUCCAUCAGGUCUCCUACCAAAUCAGUCCCGCAUCAAGGCCCUGCGAUCAUUUCCUUCUCGGCCAUCUGCCCAGCCAAUCAUCAACAUCCCAAAUAAAUCCACUCCGUCCGUAUCGUCAACGAGUCCUCCUAGCAUCCCACGGAUCACACCGUCAUCACAGCCGUCCAUCUCGUGAUCAGAUCAAGCUCCCACACAUGUGAAGCAUCUGCGCGUCCCCACCUUCCUUCACAGCCGUGGCAUCCAUCCCAGCGAUCCCGUCUUCAACGCCAUUAUCCCGCGGUCCGUGCGAUCACAGGAGACUCCAGCUCCUCCCUGCUUCGUCCGCAUCACAACGUCCACGAUACUCAACCUUCAUCUCGUGAUAAGGAUCCAGCGUCUCAGCCUUCCAACAGAGCCGUGUCCGAGUCCGCCUCCUUUGAAGCCGGUGAUGCACCCCAAGAUUGCUCGCUCCCAGCGCCCUCUUCCGUGAUCAACGUCCCUGUGAUCUCAGCCUCCACUCCGAAGCCAUGAUCUCAGCCUGUGAAGCAGCCCAAGAUCCCGUCCGUAUUCAUCUUCCUUCCGAUUUCAAGCCGUAAUCCCAGCUCCAGCCAGGAUCCAAGCCGCAGAUCCCUCCUUCCACUUCAUCAACGCCUCCUCAUCGCGUCCGGCCGGCCGUGAUUCUCCCAGAAUCCCAGCGUCUCCAAGGUCUAUAAGAAGAGGGGAAGAAGGCAGGAAGAGGGGAGAGCUCGGAGGGUGGGAGCUAGGGGGGAGGCGGGGAGCUCUCGGCGAGUGGCCGGCGGGUCCAAGGGUGGUGGCCGGCGGGUCCAAAGAAAAGAGAAGGAAAACAGAGCAUUGCUCUGUUCUUGGGGUGAAGAAAGGAAUAAAAAAAUUAUAUCUUAUGUUCAGUUCUACCGUGGGAGAGAAAGGGAGAGAAAGGGAGAAAAAAUGAAAUUCUCUUUUCUUUUUUUUAUUUUAUUUGCAAAAGAAAUAAGCUUUAGGCUUCAUCUUCAAUUUUUCUUUACUUUUUGUAAUCAUUCCUUUUUAUGAAAUCAAUCAAUUUUCUUUCAUGCAUUCCAUGGUCUAGGUUCAGUUUAAUUUCUAUUUUUUUAUGCAAUCUUUUAAUUUUUCUUUUAUGCAAUACAUGUCUAAGUAUUAAUUUAAUAUUUUACAAUUUAUUAUAUGCAUUCUAGAAUUCUUAAUUUUAAGAUAACCUUGGAAUGAACCUUUGCAGUUGGAUUGACGAUUUUAAUUUAUAUUCUGUCUUUAGAAAUCAACUUCUACUCUACAUCAAAUUUCAAUUGCAAGUUUUCUUUCUUUCCUUU
RNAcentral lists this long non-coding RNA (1347 nucleotides) under Phoenix dactylifera (date palm). Its description in RNAcentral is "long non-coding RNA (PDAC_LNC011985)". The record is from RNAcentral. Lineage: Eukaryota; Viridiplantae; Streptophyta; Magnoliopsida; Arecales; Arecaceae.